This 296-nucleotide unclassified non-coding RNA is filed under the name air metagenome. RNAcentral describes it as "partial contains small subunit ribosomal RNA, internal transcribed spacer 1, and 5.8S ribosomal RNA". The stretch from base 1 to 46 matches the Rfam family "Eukaryotic small subunit ribosomal RNA", at positions 1786 to 1831 of the family's 1831-position model. The record is from RNAcentral.
AAGUCGUAACAAGGUUUCCGUAGGUGAACCUGCGGAAGGAUCAUUACCACACCUAAAAACUUUCCACGUGAACCGUAUCAACCCAAUUAAUUGGGGGUUUACUUGGCGGCUGCUGCUGGCAUCUUUUUGCUGGCUGGCUACUGCUGAGCGAACCCUAUCAUGGUGAGCGCUCUGACCUCGGUUGGAGCUAGUAGCUUGAAUUGUAAACCCAUUCUUAAAUACUGAAUAUACUGUGGGGACGAAAGUCUCUGCUUUUAACUAGAUAGCAACUUUCAGCAGUGGAUGUCUAGGCUCGC